CUGGGCGCAGCCUGAUCCAGCCAUGCCGCGUGCAGGAUGACGGUCCUAUGGAUUGUAAACUGCUUUUGUACGAGAAGAAACACUGCUUCGUGAAGCAGCUUGACGGUAUCGUAAGAAUAAGGAUCGGCUAACUCCGUGCCAGCAGCCGCGGUAAUACGGAGGAUCCAAGCGUUAUCCGGAAUCAUUGGGUUUAAAGGGUCCGUAGGCGGUUUAGUAAGUCAGUGGUGAAAGCCCAUCGCUCAACGGUGGAACGGCCAUUGAUACUGCUGAACUUGAAUUAUUAGGAAGUAACUAGAAUAUGUAGUGUAGCGGUGAAAUGCUUAGAGAUUACAUGGAAUACCAAUUGCGAAGGCAGGUUACUACUAAUUGAUUGACGCUGAUGGACGAAAGCGUGGGGAGCGAACAGGAUUAGAUACCCUGGUAGUCCACGCCGUA
Molecule: ribosomal RNA, 435 nt
Filed under: Flavobacterium sp. NH:D
Lineage: Bacteria; Pseudomonadati; Bacteroidota; Flavobacteriia; Flavobacteriales; Flavobacteriaceae
Description: bacterial SSU rRNA
Rfam family: Bacterial small subunit ribosomal RNA
Source: RNAcentral